GACGAACGCUGGCGGCGUGCUUAACACAUGCAAGUCGAACGGAAAGGCCCUGCUUGCAGGGUACUCGAGUGGCGAACGGGUGAGUAACACGUGGGUGAUCUGCCCUGCACUUCGGGAUAAGCCUGGGAAACUGGGUCUAAUACCGGAUAGGAGCCAUUUUUAGUGUGAUGGUUGGAAAGUUUUUUCGGUGUAGGAUGAGCUCGCGGCCUAUCAGCUUGUUGGUGGGGUAAUGGCCUACCAAGGCGGCGACGGGUAGCCGGCCUGAGAGGGUGGACGGCCACAUUGGGACUGAGAUACGGCCCAGACUCCUACGGGAGGCAGCAGUGGGGAAUAUUGCACAAUGGGCGCAAGCCUGAUGCAGCGACGCCGCGUGGGGGAUGACGGCCGUCGGGUUGUAAACUCCUUUCGCUAGGGACGAAGCUUUUUGUGACGGUACCUAGAGAAGAAGCACCGGCUAACUACGUG
Molecule: ribosomal RNA, 465 nt
Filed under: uncultured bacterium
Lineage: Bacteria
Description: partial 16S ribosomal RNA
Rfam family: Bacterial small subunit ribosomal RNA
Source: RNAcentral